This 494-nucleotide ribosomal RNA is filed under the name uncultured bacterium. Its description in RNAcentral is "partial 16S ribosomal RNA". It matches the Rfam family "Bacterial small subunit ribosomal RNA", at positions 28 to 507 of the family's 1533-position model. The record is from RNAcentral.
GACGAACGCUGGCGGCGUGCUUAACACAUGCAAGUCGAACGGUGAAGCCCCUUCCUUUUUGGUGGGUGUGGUUGCGUGGCGAACGGGUGAGUAACACGUGAGUAACCUGCCCCCUUCUGCUGGAUAACCGCAUGAAAGUGUGGCUAAUACGGGAUAUUCUGGGUCUGUCGCAUGAUGGGUCUGGGAGAGAUUUUGUUUAGGCGGGGGUGGGGCCCGCGGCCUAUCUGGUUGUUGGGGGGGUGAUGGCCUACCAAGGCGGUGGGGGGUAGCCGGCCUUUGAGGUUGGACGGUCGUAUAGGUAGAGAGACGCGAUACGGACUCCGACGGGAGGCAGCAUGGGUCAAUAGUGCACAAUGGGCGUGAGUCUGUUGCAGCGACGCCGCGUGAGGGAUGGGGGCCUUCGUGUUGUGAACUUCUUUCGCCAGUGAAGCAGGCCUGCCUCGUUUGUGGCUGGGUUGACGGUAGCUGGAUAAGAAGCGCCGGCUAACUACGUG